AGAAAGGAGAGGGAAAAAAGGAUGAAUUCUAUGGUUUAGUGGACACACAAGUCCAGGUAGAAGAGUUUGUCAAGGGCUAGAUCAUGCAGAGACUCACGUGACCCACAAAGUUGGAUUCUAUCCUAUAGACAGGCAACGAGAACCCCCAGGGACUCUAAUUAGGGAACUAAUCUUAUCAGUUUUCAGUUUCAGAACACCCUGACAACAGUGUGGACAACUCAAAGGCUAGCAAGACUGGGAAGAAAAUUGUCAUAAUUAAUUUAAGAGAGUUCAGACAAACCGACAUGAAGGUUAUUCAAUGGCGAUUUUGAAUGCUGGGAUUCCGUGUUUCACAGUUGAUACAGCUGAACAGAUAAAAAAAGGAACUCACCCAUAAAAGACUUGGACUCUGCUUGAAAUUCCCAACAUAUGAUUUUGAAGAUCAUCUAAAAGUUUCUCUUUUUCCCUUUCACCAAAACAUUCCCACGGUAAAUGCACU
This is a non-coding RNA of Ictidomys tridecemlineatus (thirteen-lined ground squirrel), 478 nucleotides long. NCBI's taxonomy places the organism in Eukaryota, Metazoa, Chordata, Mammalia, Rodentia, Sciuridae. The record is from RefSeq and is a predicted model, not a curated record.